RNAcentral lists this long non-coding RNA (371 nucleotides) under Panax ginseng (ginseng). RNAcentral describes it as "long non-coding RNA (PGIN_LNC009516)". Lineage: Eukaryota; Viridiplantae; Streptophyta; Magnoliopsida; Apiales; Araliaceae. The record is from RNAcentral.
ACGAUGGAACCGCCUCCUUUUGGAACCUACCAUGCGAUAUAUACAUGGUUGAAGUGAUAUUGUCAUACUAUGAGUCUUUAAAUCUCUGGCGACAUUCGUUCGAUACCAAAUUGACAGUUUAAACUUGCAUAUUGUCAAAGUGAUGGCAGCACAUCUGGGCAACUCUUCCCCAUCUGAAUUUGUACAAAUAUAAUUUUGGGAGUUGCGCUAAAUUUUUCCUAUUUCGUACUUUGAUUUUGUUGGAUAUUCAUAACAAUUUGUUAUGAUUUGUGAGUCUGUAAUGUUUGUGAGUCUGUAAUGUUUAUUGGAGUUUAUGUAAACUGGGUUGGAUAUACAGGUUGUUUCUGUUUUGGUUAUCAUUAUUAAAACUU